This 292-nucleotide ribosomal RNA is filed under the name uncultured bacterium. RNAcentral's name for it is "partial 16S ribosomal RNA". It matches the Rfam family "Bacterial small subunit ribosomal RNA", at positions 505 to 796 of the family's 1533-position model. The record is from RNAcentral.
GUGUCAGCCGCCGCGGUAAAACGUAGGUGGCAAGCGUUAUCCGGAUUUACUGGGCGUAAAGCGUGUGCAGGCGGGUUGUCAAGUGGUGUAUGAAAUCGCCCGGCUUAACCGGGCGGGGUUAGGCCAGACUGACAGCCUGGAGUGCGAGAGAGGGGCGUGGAAUUCCGGGUGUAGUGGUGAAAUGCGUAGAGAUCCGGAGGAACCCCAGCGGCGAAGGCGGCGCCCUGGCUCGCAACUGACGCUCAGACACGACAGCAUGGGGAGCGAACGGGAUUAGAAACCCGAGUAGUCC